CACGUAGGGUCCGAGCGUUGUCCGGAAUUACUGGGCGUAAAGCGCGCGCAGGCGGUCGGGUUCGUCGCUGGUGAAAGCCCCACGCUCAACGUGGGAAGGUCCGGCGAGACAGCCCGACUGGAGGCAGGGAGAGGUCGGUGGAAUUCCGGGUGUAGUGGUGAAAUGCGCAGAUAUCAGGAGGAACACCAAUGGCGAAGGCAGCUCGCUGGAACGGUACUGACGCUGAGGCGCGAAAGCGUGGGGAGCAAACAGG
RNAcentral lists this ribosomal RNA (253 nucleotides) under uncultured bacterium. RNAcentral describes it as "partial 16S ribosomal RNA". It matches the Rfam family "Bacterial small subunit ribosomal RNA", at positions 524 to 776 of the family's 1533-position model. The record is from RNAcentral.